This 497-nucleotide ribosomal RNA is filed under the name uncultured bacterium. RNAcentral's name for it is "partial 16S ribosomal RNA". It matches the Rfam family "Bacterial small subunit ribosomal RNA", at positions 28 to 507 of the family's 1533-position model. The record is from RNAcentral.
GAUGAACGCUGGCGGCGUGCCUAAUACAUGCAAGUCGAGCGAACGGACGAGAAGCUUGCUUCUCUGAUGUUAGCGGCGGACGGGUGAGUAACACGUGGAUAACCUACCUAUAAGACUGGGAUAACUUCGGGAAACCGGAGCUAAUACCGGAUAAUAUUUUGAACCGCAUGGUUCAAAAGUGAAAGACGGUCUUGCUGUCACUUAUAGAUGGAUCCGCGCUGCAUUAGCUAGUUGGUAAGGUAACGGCUUACCAAGGCAACGAUGCAUAGCCGACCUGAGAGGGUGAUCGGCCACACUGGAACUGAGUCACGGUCCAGACUCCUACGGGAGGCAGCAGUAGGGAAUCUUCCGCAAUGGGCAAAAGCCUGACGGAGCAACGCCGCGUGAGUGAUGAAGGUCUUCGGAUCGUAAAACUCUGUUAUUAGGGAAGAACAUAUGUGUAAGUAACUGUGCACAUCUUGACGGUACCUAAUCAGAAAGCCACGGCUAACUACGUG